GACGCCAUUUUCUAUUUUCGUAAGGUAAUCGAGGAAGUGCUUGUCACUUUAUGGUGCUUGUGUUUUAAAAAAAUAGCUUUAAAGAGUCUUGCUGCAUUCUAGAAUUUGUUACAUAUCGCAAUGUCUGAAAACGAGAACAAGAAAUUGGCGGACUUAAGAGUAAUAGAUUUAAAGUCAGAGUUGGAAAAAAGAGGCCUGGACAAAAAUGGCGUAAAACAGGUUAUACUUCAAAGAUUGAAAGAGGCAUUGGAAAAAGAAGGACAUGAUCCUGAAACUUACAUAUUUGAGUCAACGGACAACAAAAAGAGAAAUUCAGUUCAGGAUGCUGAAUCUGAAGAAAAAUUAGAUGAGUCUAUUGAUGAUAAAACAAAACCUACGGAAGAAAAUACAAAAACCUUGAAUGGAAAAGAAAAUGGGCAAAUUAAAAAUAACGAUGCUGAAUUGAAAGAUACAGAAAAUGUUUCUCAAAAAGAUGACACUAAGACAAAUGACGUAGAGCCUGAAUCUAAGGAAAACAAGGAAUCCGAAGAAAACAUUGACAAACCUAAAGUUCCGCCUCCGCCAGUUUUGACAGAAGAAGAUGAUGGGCAUGAAUCUCCUAUUAGGCUUACUUUAGAUGAUGAUGAGACAUUACAUGAUGUCGAGAGCGAGUCUACUGAAAAAGCUCGAGAUGAAGAUACAACAAAUGAUAAAAGUAAGAAGGAAGAUCGAGCGAGUUCGAAGGAUGAAGGUUCUCGUCGGGAAGAGGAGAGAGCAGAAGAUGAUUCUAGGAGAGAGUCUGGAGAAAAUCUUCAGAAGAAAGUCAGCGGCAAAUCGAACCCCAACGUGGUUUGGAUCUCGAACGUGGCUAAAACGACGCGCGCCAGCGAACUCAAGUCCGCCUUGUCGGCUUGCGGCAAAGUGGUCGGCGCCAAGGUGGUAGUGAACGCGCGCUAUCCGGGCUCCAACUGUUUCGGAUACGUCACUAUGGGAUCUGUGGAGGACGUGGAGAACGUUAUCAGCAAACUCAACAACACCGAGUUAAAUGGGCAGAUGAUAAAAAUUGAAAAGUUUGACCAGGUACGCGCCGAUCAAAUGAGGCAAAUGAAGGACGCCAAGUCUUCAAGUUCCAAAUCUAAAUCGGACGCAGAGAAGAAGGACGGUAAAAACAGUGGCAGUGCAGAGAAGGAAGAUGGUGCGAAGAAAGGGGAAGAAAAGGACGACGAUAAACACAGUAAAGACGGGAAAGACUCGCGCGAAAGAAAGGAUUCCAAGGAGAGGAGGAGGUCUAAUGAAAGAACUCAUAAAACAGAUGAUAAGCAAAGGGACAGAGAUCGUAGAAGUAGAUCCAGGGAUCGCAGGUUACAUGGCGGGAAACCCAGAGAUAUUUUGACUUUUGAUAAAAUUAAGGAGGAGAGAGAGAGACAAAAAAUGCGCGAACGUGAACGUAUCUUAAGGGAAGAAUCGAGACGACGUCACGAGGAGAGCCUCAGGCAGAGGGACAUCGAGAGACGUCAACGUCAAGAGGCUGCCAGACUAGAGAGAGAAAAGGAGAAGCUCAGGUUGGAAAAGGAGAAAAUCGCUAGGGAAAAGGCCGAAUUGGUGCGGAUGGAACGGGAACGUCAACGGCUCGAGCGGGAAAAAAUCGCCAGGGAAAAAAUGGAAUUAAAAAGAACGUUGAUAAGACUAGAAGAGGACCGAAAGCGUGCUCCGUUUAGAGGUGACGAACGGUUCGACGAUCGGAAAAGACCGCCUGUACCUGGCGGCGACCGUUCUAGGUUAGAGAAGAUAGGCAGAGAUAAGAUGGAGGUGCAGCGGUCGUACCCGAGAAUGGAGGAGGACCGUAGGACUGGGAAAAGACCGGUUCCGUAUAGGGGCGACGAUCGGUACGAUGACCGUAAGAGGCCGGCGCCUUCUGACAGGCGUUUCGAAGCCCCGCCUCCGCCGAGAUUCGACACUUCAAAGUAAAAAAACUCGUGAGCUGAGUCCGAAAAAAUUCACUGGACCUUCAAAAGAUUCCUAUAACAAGGCCAGAUCCGGAGGAUACGAUCCCAAACGCGACAACUCUUAUGGUGACAAGAGAGGAAGAGAUUACAACGAUGCGCCAAGUUUCGAUAGGAGGGCGAAUAAUUGGUCUAGCCAAACUCCCGGCCAAUUUGUGAGUAACGCACCGAAACCGUGGGAAACGAAACAAGAUUGGCGACAGUCCUCAUCAGACAGGUGGAAUACCAACAGCCAAGGAGCAGCGAGUGGUAGCAGACCUUUUUCCAACAAUUCUAAUAUGGGAUUGGUACCACUGUGUCCCCCUCCUCCUGGGAUAAAUAGCUACAACGAUGGUAGAUUCGAGUACGGGAAAACUAUAAGCUCAUCUAUGAGAAAAUACUAAGUCAAAUCAGUAUGUCACUAUAAAAAUUAUUGAGCAAACAGACAGAAAGAUGUAUCAAUUGAGCCAUGUUCUUGUAUGGAAAAAUGUAAUUAUUGUUCUAUUUUAAAGUUACAUUAGUUUUAGUUAAAUUAAAUUUAACGUUCCAAUGUAGGUUAUAUUUACGUAUGUAUUCUUUUAGAUAAUAAAGUCGGUUGUCCACUUUCA
This 2569-nucleotide unclassified non-coding RNA is filed under the name Sitophilus oryzae (rice weevil). RNAcentral describes it as "sAFB-like transcription modulator, transcript variant X1". Lineage: Eukaryota; Metazoa; Arthropoda; Insecta; Coleoptera; Curculionidae. The record is from RNAcentral.